GAUCAAGUCAAUAAGGGCACACGGUGAAUGUCUUGGCGUUGGGAGGCGAUGAAGGACGUAGGAACCUGCGAUAAGCCAAAGGGAGCUGGUAACCGAGCCGUGAUCUUUGGAUCUCCGAAUGGGGAAACCCGGCCGCAAGGUCAUCCUGUACUGAAUGCAUAGGUGCAGGAAGCGAUACCCAGGGAACUGAAACAUCUCAGUACCUGGAGGAAAGGAAAUCAACCGAGACUCCGUGAGUAGCGGCGAGCGAAAGCGGAUAAGCCAGUGAGACAAUGAAGCGUUUGAAUGGCGCGCCAAAGAAGGUGAAAGCCCUGUAGUUAUGAAUCUGGUUAGCCCACGAGUAGCGUCGGUCCCGUGGAACCCGGCGUGAACAUGGGGGGUCCACCCUCCAAGGCUAAGUACUACCCAACGACCGAUAGUGAAACAGUAAGGCGACUGAAAGAUGAAAAGAACCGCGAUGAGCGGUGUGAAAGAGUACCUGAAACCGUGUGCUUACAAGCGGUGGGAGC
Molecule: ribosomal RNA, 509 nt
Filed under: Phycisphaerales bacterium
Lineage: Bacteria; Pseudomonadati; Planctomycetota; Phycisphaerae; Phycisphaerales
Description: partial 23S ribosomal RNA
Rfam family: Bacterial large subunit ribosomal RNA
Source: RNAcentral